Long non-coding RNA from Phacochoerus africanus (Common warthog), 835 nucleotides. RefSeq lists it as uncharacterized. The transcript has 3 exons. NCBI's taxonomy places the organism in Eukaryota, Metazoa, Chordata, Mammalia, Artiodactyla, Suidae. The record is from RefSeq and is a predicted model, not a curated record.
UGCUGUUCCGGUCACGGCUGCCGUGCUGUCUGUGCCCAGCCCUCUUCGGCCUUAUUAAAAGCCCCAGAGCCUGUGCCCUCUGGGAGAGAGGAUGGCAUCAGGAAAGGACGUAAGGUGUCGGUGCACUUGAAGUGUUGAUUGAGGUCGGGAAGUUCAAGUGCACGACGUCCCAGCAGAUCUCAGCUUCCACAGCCAGCCAUGUGCUGCUCUUACCUGUAUCCCUAAGAGAAGCCCAAGGGUCAGAGAGGUCCCGUGACUGAUGCCCCAUCGAAGUCUUUUGCACCGGUCUGCAUCUCUCCUAAAACAAUGUCACUUCUACCCCAGACCCCUCCGGAUGUCUGCUGGCUGCCAGGGGUGGUGCCUGGGAUCCUUCUUCCUGCCAUCACCGGUCCUGCUCCAGCUCCCCUGUCCUCUGGGGCCAAUACCUGGCCCUGGCUUAGCUGUGGUGUCACAUCUGUGGAGCUCUGUAUUCUGCAGGGCACGGAUGGGAGCAAAAGGGACAGAAACGGGCAGGGGGUUUGCCUUUGGAGAGCUGUCCCCAUGUUCCCCAAAUUCCCCCAUGGUGAUAAGCUUCCUUCAGGCCUUCCCUGGAAGCAGCUUCUGGUCCCAAAGAGGGUGAUGGGAAGGAAGCAGAUGAAUCAAGGUUUGCUGGUGCCAAGGCUGAGCCCCACAGUGAGAACUGGGGCCCAAGCUGCCAUGGCGCCAACUGUCAGACAUGGGUGUGACCCACUGUGAGUCCUAGCCAAGCCCAUCCUCCAGCAGAAUCUGACUGCAGGUGUGUGAACAAGUGACACCAGCAGAGCAAUGGCCCAGCUAACCCAUGGGAGCAGGAGAA